CUCAGUGAGAGACAGCACAGUUCUGUAGGCCAUGUGUACAUGGCCUGGGCAUACAAUAUCUUGAUCUCAGUUCUACUUUUCGAUGUAUAUUUCCCCAUUAAACUCACAUUCUUUACUCAGGUUAUAGGGCAGGAGAAUUUUUGACAUCACUUCAGUUGAUGCUGUGUAUAAGGGGCAUUUUGGUAGUGCUGGUUCAACACAAGUUGUUGUGCCUCCAGCAGAGCCUGCUUCAUGUAAAGCCCUUAUCACAGGACAAGAGCAGUUUUCAGCUCCCCAGGCACUCAGCAUGGAUCCUGGCAGACUGCAAGAAACUUUCCCACAAUCUGUAAUGGCCCAGAGGUUUUGGUGGUGGUUUAUAGCAUGUUCUUUCUCUCUUUUUUGUAGGUCUUACAAAAAAAAAAAAAAAUGGGCUGUGUACAAGAAGCUUGCUUGAGUCUUUGUAUGGGAAUUUUUACUGAGCCACUUCACUGAAUACUGCAGGGUGCAGGAAUAACAAAAAAGGCUUAGAAAGAGCAUGGGCUCUUGACACCUAUUCUGCAGAGCCAUUUUCACUGUCUAAUGCUGCUCUGCUGUACAUUUUGGUACGUAGGUACAGAUCCAAGAAUAAAUUUUGGCCCUGACCAUGGAAUAUUUACUCAAUCUGAAAUGCGGACGUGACCUGCCUUCUCCUCCUGCAACUAACAGGGCGACCAGAGGCAGUGGAAUGUACACCAGGAAAGAAUAGAACCAGAGGGAAAGCAAGCUGUCAAGAGAACAGUGUACUGAAGAGGAAAAAUGUAAAACAUGACUUCUAUUUACUGUGAUUAAUAUGUAAAGUUAACAUGUUUGUCAUGGAAUAUAUUAAUAUGUAUGUUUUCCCAUUAUGUAGAUCUUUUCUUAUAUUGCUUAUUAGAAAGGGAUACAAUCACAAUGAUGGGGCAAGAAUGCCACUUAAAAAUUAGGUGAUGCCCAGUCAACAUAAUAUAACCACUACAGUGUCAUUUCUGAUUUAGAUGUGGUAGAUCAGUAUAAUUGCCUCUGGGAAGAAAUUAAAAUGGCUGUUAAUGAUAAAUAAAAUGACAAGAAUGAGGAUCCUCCUUCACAUAUAAUUCCAAGCAAAAUACAGCUGCUGAAUUCCUUGAGCACUUGGUGCUAUUCAUUGAUAAAGAGGAAACAAGCCAGUUUUGUGCAGCUUCAUGGACAUAAGAGCUGCCCUGUCCUUUCCCAAGGCCAAAUGUAGACACCAUAGGUCUAAAAAGAUUUCACCCCCUAUUUCCACUCAGGGGAGGUGUAGUAGUGAAGCUCCUAUGAAGUGACUAUUAACACCAUUCCAGCAGAAAGCACUGUACAUAACAAACUGAAGGUUAAGGAAAAAGAGGCUAGAGGCAGGGAGACAACAGUGCAUGUGGAUACUUUACAAAACCUCCAAAUAUUCCUGCCUUGUCUCCAUCACCAUAGGCAGCCGUAGUUCACAGAUCAAAAGACCUUCAUACAUUUGUUUUCUAUCAUAAGUGUGUCAAGAAUGAGGUACACAAAGCAUCAUUCACUCACUGCACAUGGCUUGUUAGCCUAGUCGAGAGCAUCUUUCAACUCAUUCACACAUUAAAAGCCAGGAAAUCAACAUUUGAUUACUAGUUCUAGCAUUAAGAUCAAAGACCAUAUCUUCCCAUCUGCGAAAAGCAGGAGCCAAAUUGCUUUCUCCUCUUUCUGCAUUUACAGAAGAAUUGAGGAGUCAAAACACAAAAUCAAUGUUGUACUCCACAUCCCUUGAAUAACACAGUUCCAGCCUGUAAAAACACAAAGCAGCCACUAUAACUUCCACACAUUUUCUUGGAAAGAAGUAUAAGCAAAUCUGUAGUCACAUCUUCACAGGACUCCCAGCAGUCUGCAGUUAUCCAAAGCCCAGAGUGGCUUGAUCCACAGGUGUUAUCCUAGUGUAUAAAAUUACAACACCUCUUAAGAGGGAAAAUACCAUGUGCCUGCCAUUUACUCUUCUCUUGAUAUCUUCAAAAUCAGAUGGUGGUGUAAGGGUUAGAUUAAAUGAAAGCACUAACUUAAAAUCACCAAAACUAAACUGAAACAGGUGGGGUAAGUCAAUGUUAUUCCAUUGUCAUAGUUAGGUUUUUACUUACCUGUUGGUCAAAGAAGCUUGAAAAUAUACAUAAAUCAAAAUCAGCCUUAACCUGAAGAAUAAUAUGUCCACUUUCAGGUGAAACUUAUUUGUUGGUUCAGUUGUAGACAAUGGAAAAUCUUCUGCAGGGGAUUUACUCUUAGGCACAUGUAGCCAAACCAUAGCAGGGGCAGUGAAAGAAGAGAGGGUAAAAUAAUGAAUAAUGUUUAACAUGCUUUCUAAAAUAUAGCAAAUUAACACAGAAAAGACUCUAGUGAAACAGCUGAACCACUGACCUAGCGUUUUGAGAUAUGCAGGAUAUUUUUUUUUUUUUGAUGGUGGUGGUCUGUUUUACUACACAGCAUGUGAAAGAAGUGCAGAGCUUAGCCAGCCCCCAGCUAAUUGCUUUGGCUCUUUUGCAUGAAGAUCAUUUGCUGACAAAUUGUUACAGACACAUUAAGGCACAAGUUUUUAUAGGAUGCCUGGUGUUCUUUAUAAUGCAAUUAGCGUUAUUUAGUAUACAUGUUUUCUUGUGCAUUGUUGUUCUUUCCCUGGCAAACAAAAACAAUGAAAUCUGCACCCUUCAAGUGACUGAAUCUUUCCUCAUGUUUCCUGGAUUUGAACUCUCUUUUGGGAGCAUGGAGUUAUCAAAAGAAAAAUCCUACCUAAUAUUUACUAAAGGCCAUUUUUAAUGUCUGUUUGGGAAAGUUAGAAGAAAAUGUGGACUGAGGUUGAUCAUAUUCUUUUGCCAGCUUUACAAAAGACACUAGGACCAGUUUAUUUUAGGAAGCAAAGAGUUUUGAUCUGCUCCAAAGGAGCUGCAAAGAAAAGCUUUCCUGUGAGUCCGUGUGUUGGAAGACUCCUUGCAGCAUUUACUCAAGCAUAUCGUGGAUAGGUUAUGAAAAAUCACCGUUCUGACAUCUCCAAACUUCUGCUCACCAGCAAAGUAUCAAGGGGGCACCAGGUCUGCAUCUCUUCCAGCAGUGGUGAGGUUCUCCAGGCAACAAGUUCUCCAUGUAUGUGUCCUUUUGUGCAAGACACACCCCCUAUCUUCAAGUACUGCAAUGGUGUUACAUGCCUGGUCUACCUUUAAGCCAUGCUGACAUUUGUGUGCAAGCUAUCCCUCCCUUGUACCAGGGAGGACCCA
Serinus canaria (Common canary) is the source of this 3236-nucleotide long non-coding RNA. RefSeq lists it as uncharacterized. NCBI's taxonomy places the organism in Eukaryota, Metazoa, Chordata, Aves, Passeriformes, Fringillidae. The transcript is spliced from 3 exons. The record is from RefSeq and is a predicted model, not a curated record.